This 166-nucleotide ribosomal RNA is filed under the name Halophytophthora avicenniae. RNAcentral's name for it is "5.8S ribosomal RNA". It matches the Rfam family "5.8S ribosomal RNA". Rfam says of the family: 5.8S ribosomal RNA (5.8S rRNA) is a component of the large subunit of the eukaryotic ribosome. It is transcribed by RNA polymerase I as part of the 45S precursor that also contains 18S and 28S rRNA. Lineage: Eukaryota; Oomycota; Peronosporomycetes; Peronosporales; Peronosporaceae. The record is from RNAcentral.
UAGAUAGCAACUUUCAGCAGUGGAUGUCUAGGCUCGCACAUCGAUGAAGGACGCUGCGAACUGCGAUACGUAAUGCGAAUUGCAGGAUUCAGUGAGUCAUCGAAAUUUUGAACGCAUAUUGCACUUCCGGGUUAUGCCUGGGAGUAUGUCUGUAUCAGUGUCCGUA